UCCCUCAUACCUCAGUCGGUAAAGAAUCUGCCUGCAAUGCAGGAGACCUGGGUUCAAUUCCUGGGUUGGGAA
RNAcentral lists this transfer RNA (72 nucleotides) under Bos taurus (domestic cattle). It matches the Rfam family "tRNA". Rfam says of the family: Transfer RNA (tRNA) molecules are approximately 80 nucleotides in length. Their secondary structure includes four short double-helical elements and three loops (D, anti-codon, and T loops). Further hydrogen bonds mediate the characteristic L-shaped molecular structure. tRNAs have two regions of fundamental functional importance: the anti-codon, which is responsible for specific mRNA codon recognition, and the 3' end, to which the tRNAs corresponding amino acid is attached (by aminoacyl-tRNA synthetases). tRNAs cope with the degeneracy of the genetic code in two manners: having more than one tRNA (with a specific anti-codon) for a particular amino acid; and 'wobble' base-pairing, i.e. permitting non-standard base-pairing at the 3rd anti-codon position. The record is from Rfam by way of RNAcentral. RNAcentral also lists the same sequence under 1 other name. Lineage: Eukaryota; Metazoa; Chordata; Mammalia; Artiodactyla; Bovidae.